GAUGAACGCUGGCGGCGUGCCUAACACAUGCCAGUCGAACGCUGAAGGAGGAGCUUGCCCUGCUGUAUGAGUUGCGAGCGGGUGUGUAGCGCGUAGGUAACCUGCGUGGUAGCGGGGGAUAACUGGUGGAAACGAUAGCUAAUACCGCAUGACAGCAGGUGUUGGAUGAUAACUGUUUAAAAGGGGCAACUGCUACACUACCAGAUGGACCUGCGUUGUAUUAGGGAGUUGGUGAGGUAACGGCCCACCAAGGCGACGAUACCUAGCCGACCUGAGAGGGUGAUCGGCCACACUGGGACUGAGGCACGGCCCAGGCUCCUACGGGAGGGAGCAGUAGGGAAUCUUCGGCAAUUGGCGGAAGUCUGACCGAGCCACGCCGCGUGAGGGAAGAAGGGUUUCGGGUCGGAAAGGUCUGUUGUAAGGGAAGAAAGAGCGGGAGAGUGGAAAGUUCAUGCUGUGACGGUAUCUUAACAGAAAGCAACGGCUAACUACGUG
This 495-nucleotide ribosomal RNA is filed under the name uncultured bacterium. Its description in RNAcentral is "partial 16S ribosomal RNA". It matches the Rfam family "Bacterial small subunit ribosomal RNA", at positions 28 to 507 of the family's 1533-position model. The record is from RNAcentral.